CCUACGGGAGGCAGCAGUAGGGAAUCUUCCACAAUGGGCGAAAGCCUGAUGGAGCAACACCGCGUGAGUGAAGAAGGGCUUCGGAUCGUAAAGCGCUGUUGUUGGAGAAGAACGUGCGUGAGAGUAACUGUUCACGCAGUGACGGUAUCCAACCAGAAAGCCACGGCUAACUAUGUGCCAGCAGCCGCGGUAAUACGUAGGUGGCAAGCGUUAUCCGGAUUUAUUGGGCGUAAAGCGAGCGCAGGCGGUUGCUUAGGUCUGAUGUGAAAUCCUUCGGCUUAACCGAAGAAGUGCAUCGGAAACCGGGAGACUUGAGUGCAGAAGAGGACAGUGGAACUCCAUGUGUAGCGGUGGAAUGCGUAGAUAUAUGGAAGAACACCAGUGGCGAAGGCGGCUGUCUGGUC
Molecule: ribosomal RNA, 404 nt
Filed under: uncultured bacterium
Lineage: Bacteria
Description: partial 16S ribosomal RNA
Rfam family: Bacterial small subunit ribosomal RNA
Source: RNAcentral